Molecule: long non-coding RNA, 566 nt
Organism: Ipomoea nil (Japanese morning glory)
Lineage: Eukaryota; Viridiplantae; Streptophyta; Magnoliopsida; Solanales; Convolvulaceae
Exons: 2
Source: RefSeq, a predicted model, not a curated record
UCCUUCUAUUAUUUUAUUCCUUUUCCAUCAUCUUCCCUCCCCCUCUCUCUCUCUUGCAUAUUUCAGUAGCAGGAGCAAACUCCAUCCAGAUAAGUCAUAUCAGAUGCAGAGAUAGAGCGACUGCAUGUGAGGAUAAGAGAUGUGUGGGUGAGAUCAUCUGGCCGAGAAAUGAAGAUAAGCUUCCAGAUUCUUCAUUAUUUAUAUAUAUAUAAAAAACUAAUGUAUGAAUUACAUCUCAAAUGUGAGAGUGUGGGUGAGAUGAUCUGGCCAAGAAAUGAAGAUAAGCUUCCAGAUUCUUCAUUAUUUAUAUAUAUAAAAAACUAAUGUAUGAAUUACAUCUCAAAUGUGAGAGUGUGGGUGAGAUGAUCUGGCCAAGAAAUGAAGAUAAGCUUCCAGAUUCUUCAUUAUUUAUAUAUAUAAAACUAAUGUAUGAAUUACAUCUCAAAUGUGAGAAUGUUUAUGCAGAUUACAUGUGCGACUGAGGCUCAAUCUCAUGACUGAGAGAGGUCACUAAUGUCAUCUAAGCACAUAAUGUCUAGUAACUCAGUUAUAUAAAUUAUUUGCGA